CAAGAAUAGGAUUUUUUUUUUUAAUUCUCUCAAAUGUCCACAAAUGUGGCUGCAUACAUAGCUCUAGGAAGAAGGCAGAAAGUCUAACGGCACUAAUCUUGAGUCAGACCAGUGGAGGCUGAACCAGCCCAACCAGGGUUGGGCCACACUGGUUCCUCUAACAAGAAGCACUGCGGCAAUGACCCACCAAAGACCCACGGCUCUCAGCAGUUGAAUGGUGUGUCCAGGCUUCACUGGACUGAGGGCAGAGCUCUCCACACAGGAUGCUGAGCAUCUCCUCAGACCAUCCAGGCUCCCAGGACCCUGGAGGGCUCACCAGGAACCCCCACAUUUGUGUGUAUAGGUUCCUGUUCUUGGUGGUUUGCUUCUGUGAGACAGGCCAUUGCUUCCCAGCCCCCAAACACUCGUUAACCAUUCUCAUGACUGGGCUUGAAGUCUGCUGGGCCGGUAUCUCCUCUCCAUCAACCCUGCAACCCUUGCAGUGCCUGACAUUCCAAGGACUUCAGAUUAAAAGUAUCACUGGGGAAUGCAAAGUACAUAUUCUGGAUGAACGUGCUAUCUGUCAUCUUACUGUCUUGCACUGUUACCCACCUGCAAUACUGAUAUUUAACUUUUUACCUAUUCAGAGGUCUUCUAUCCCCAAUUAAAAAGUUAACAGAAGGAAGACUCUCAUACUCAAAAUUUAAUAAUUUCACUACUUGUUCUCCAUUACAUACAAUCGAUAAAUUUGUAAGGGACUUUACACAUAUGUAGAGAACAAAAUAAGUAUAAACAUUCCCUAGAAAAUCCGGAUUCAAGUAACAGUAGACUUGGCAGGUCCAACAGUGGCAGGAUGAAUCCCACACAAUCACAUCCCCCUACACAAUAGUGGUCACAUUUCCAGUCAGGUAUCCAUCCAUUCUUGCCUCCGUACCAGCUCCAGGGUGAGACCAGGGCUACCUAACCCAGUCCAGGUCACCCUUUCCCCUUUGUGAUCAAGACUGGUUCAAGGAAUCCAGAACUAAGUCAGUCACACAUGGCAUCCCUCGGCCGCUGGGAUCGGUUCUGAAGUGGUUUGAAAAAGAAGAGCUUGGCGCUCUCCGAACACAUUCCCAGCCUCCCUUUUCCCUGAACUCCGGCACACACUGAGCCUGGCAAGGACAUGGCUUCUCAGCCCUGAGGAAGCCAGCCUUAAGGUGAAGCAGGCACUUCAGAAAAGCAGAGCAAGAGAAAAAAGAAAUGGGAUUCCAGAUGGCUUUAUAACAGUUUAUAAAGAAAACAGGCUGAAACCUACCCUAACCUUUUAGACCUCUACAGAACUUCCAGGUCUAGGAACCAAUAGUAUAGUAGGCUAAUGAACUCCUCUGAGCGACAUUCAAGCACACGUACAGUUAUACAGUGCUGACCGCCUGGCACUGUGCUAAGUAGUGAGGUACGGAGAUAAGUGAGGCUCAAACCUAUGCCUUGGGCAACUGGUUCAAAAGGAAGACAGAAGGAGAGUGAUUUUUAGAAAAGUGGUAAACAGACAGCUAGAUAGGAGCAGGGGCUUAAACCCAGCAGGAGGUGAGUGUGUCACUUGAAGGAGGUGAUUAUAAAUUCAAACUUCAUAAUAUGGAAGCAGAAUGGCUCCAGAGUCUCUAUUUUGACAUCUGCAUUCUGUCCCUCAUUUUAGAGGCUCUUAUUUUUCCAGGGGCCUAACAAGGAUUCAGAAAAAAACUAGAGUUCUUUCCCUUCUCUGCUCUCUGCCAACAUGACAUCACACUCUGACCUGGGAAUGGCUUUCGCCUUAUCCUAAUGCAAAGACUUCUACCAAGAAGGCUGUGGAAAACCUAGUGAGCGCUUGUUUGCAAUAGAACUCACUCUCAUUGACCUUUCCCCCCCCAAUGGCUAUUCCAUUAUUUACUUUUUAAGUCACAGAAGAACACAGUCAUCGUAACUAAGCUUUCCAGAAAUUCAGUAUAUGGGGAGUGGGGUCUCCUGUGAAAGGGCCUAAUCCCAUUGAAACAGUAUUUUAUCUUGAUUAGUCCAACAAGACCCUGUAGUAAUGAUCAUUCUCACUCUAGCAAAGUCCGGACCAAAGUCUGCAGACAUUGUUCUGAGAACAGCGACCCGUGGGAAGGAAAAAAGAACAAAGCGUAUAAAACUAUUACAGCUUCAGACUUCAGUGUUUCAUGACUCAUCUUGAUCUAUCUACUUACAUCUAUCCCCAUUAUCCCCAUGCUGUUCUCCCCCUGGAACCCUCAAAAAUGUAUGUGUCCUCUCUCCUCCCUCCAUCAUGUUUCCCCUUCAUUUCUGGGAUGUACCUUUCUCCUUCUACCUGAGGAAUCACUUCAUGUCUAGGGGGGGAAAUCCCAAGAGGCACUUAUAAAGAGCAUACACCACGCAGGCACUCCAGCUACCGUGCCCCCUUCUUCUGUCCCUGUGUUCUGAAGACACACAGUCAUCUUAAAGGGAUAAAAAUCUGCAUCUAUCUUCAUUUUCCUUCACGUUAAAAAAAUUCCAGUAAAAGGGAAAGCCACAGAAACAGCAUCUGUGCUGAGAUCAAAGAUCGUGGGGCUGGCAUUUGAAAAGCACGACUUUGCUUAAUCAAUUGGGAAUCCCAAGUUUGUACAGAAGCCAACCAAAGCAAAAACAAAACAAAGGCUACCUAAUACUGAUACAGUCUAGUGCAAAACACUUAAUAUAAUCAAAACACAAAUGGGCUUUCAAUUUAAGGUAUGAUACUGAACUCUGCACCAUAAACAUUUUCCCUUUAUAAAUUUGCUCAGGUGAAAUACACACCCUACUAUACCAGAGGGUGUUACACCAAGGGUCAAAUGUAAACUGGAAGUCGUACUAUUAAAGAUAAGUUAGGGCCUCAAAUAAGCUCAAAUCAAGCAGCAGCCAAGAUCCAUUAAUAGACUGCACUGAACACUGCAAUGUGGCGAUCCCAUUCCAGACAAGCUCCAAGUCCCAGGAUUAGCAUUCAGACAUACAAUGAGAAGACCAGCAACUAUGCUUUCAGAAAGUGGUCCUGUAAGAUAAGACCUCAAACAAAGUAGACACACGGGAAAGAAUGGUAUGUUUCAAAGUUGUUAUUAUUUUUUAAUUACAAGAUGCCUGGUAGCCUGGCAUUGACCCUGAAGAGAAUACAGUAAAGAACUUUCCUCUGGAAAAACUAAACAGCCCCAAUGGAAAAAAUAUUAUUGAUAUCAGUAUUUAUGACCCCGUAAGUCUACUCUCAGAUGUGGACUAAAGUGUAGUGAGUCCAU
This is a long non-coding RNA of Leopardus geoffroyi (Geoffroy's cat), 3230 nucleotides long. RefSeq lists it as uncharacterized. The transcript is spliced from 2 exons. The record is from RefSeq and is a predicted model, not a curated record. Lineage: Eukaryota; Metazoa; Chordata; Mammalia; Carnivora; Felidae.